Molecule: ribosomal RNA, 328 nt
Filed under: uncultured Pseudomonas sp.
Lineage: Bacteria; Pseudomonadati; Pseudomonadota; Gammaproteobacteria; Pseudomonadales; Pseudomonadaceae
Description: bacterial SSU rRNA
Rfam family: Bacterial small subunit ribosomal RNA
Source: RNAcentral
GUCAGCUCGUGUCGUGAGAUGUUGGGUUAAGUCCCGUAACGAGCGCAACCCUUGUCCUUAGUUACCAGCACGUUAUGGUGGGCACUCUAAGGAGACUGCCGGUGACAAACCGGAGGAAGGUGGGGAUGACGUCAAGUCAUCAUGGCCCUUACGGCCUGGGCUACACACGUGCUACAAUGGUCGGUACAAAGGGUUGCCAAGCCGCGAGGUGGAGCUAAUCCCAUAAACCGAUCGUAGUCCGGAUCGCAGUCUGCAACUCGACUGCGUGAAGUCGGAAUCGCUAGUAAUCGUGAAUCAGAAUGUCACGGUGAAUACGUUCCCGGGCCUU